GACGAACGCUGGCGGCGUGCUUAACACAUGCAAGUCGAACGAAGUGGCGAACGGGUGAGUAACGCGUAAUCAACCUGCCCUUCAGAGGGGGACAACAGUUGGAAACGACUGCUAAUAGCGCAUAUUGCAGGUGGGGAUUGCGUCUGAUUAGCUAGUUGGAGGGGUAACGGCCGACCAAGGCGAUGAUCAGUAGCCGGUCUGAGAGGAUGAAGGGCCACAUUGGGACUGAGACACGGCCCAGACUCCUACGGGAUGCAGCAGUGGGGAAACUUCCGCAAUGGACGGAAGUCGGACGGAGCAACGCCGCGUGAGUGAUGACGGCCUUCGGGUCGGAAAGCUCUGUUAGGCGGGACGCGGUACCGGAAUAGAAAGCCACGGCUAACUACGUGCCAGCAGCCGCGGUAAUUC
Molecule: ribosomal RNA, 408 nt
Filed under: uncultured bacterium
Lineage: Bacteria
Description: partial 16S ribosomal RNA
Rfam family: Bacterial small subunit ribosomal RNA
Source: RNAcentral